CUUAACCGAGGAAGGGCGUAUGAUACUGGCAAGCUAGAGUGCGGAAGAGGGGGGUGGAAUUCCAGGUGUAGCGGUGAAAUGCGUAGAUAUCCGGAGGAACACCAGUGGCGAAGGCGGCCCCCUGGUCCGACACUGACGCUGAGACGCGAGAGCGUGGGUAGCAAACAGGAUUAGAUACCCUGGUAGUCCACGCCGUAAACGAUGGGCACUAGGUGUCUGGGGUAUUGACCCCCUGGGUGCCGCAGCUAACGCAUUAAGUGCCCCGCCUGGGGAGUACGAUCGCAAGGUUAAAACUCAAAGGAAUUGACGGGGGCCCGCACAGGCGGUGGAGCAUGUGGUUCAAUUCGACGCAACGCGAAGAACCUUACCUGGGCUAGACAACGGUGGCCAGUCCGUGAAAGCGGAUCUUCCCUUCGGGGACUG
RNAcentral lists this ribosomal RNA (423 nucleotides) under uncultured bacterium. Its description in RNAcentral is "bacterial SSU rRNA". It matches the Rfam family "Bacterial small subunit ribosomal RNA", at positions 608 to 1029 of the family's 1533-position model. The record is from RNAcentral.